AUGGCCCAGCCAGCAGAUCUGUCAUCAGGCGCUGCUGGGUCUAGUGAGGCAGGAGGAGUUAAGACGGACGAGGCAGGGAGCACGGAGGUAGGGAGAGGAGAGACAGAGGCAGGUAGAGGAGGCACAGAGGCAGCGAGAGAAGGCACAGAGGCAGCGAGAGGAGGAGACACAGAGGCAGCGAGAGGAGGAGAGACAGAGGCAGCGAGAGGAGGAGACACAGAGGCAGCGAGAGGAGGAGAGACAGAGGCAGCGAGAGGAGGAGAGACAGAGGCAGCGAGAGGAGGAGAGACAGAGGCAGCGAGAGGAGGAGACACAGAGGCAGCGAGAGGAGGAGACACAGAGGCAGGGGCAGUCAACGCAGAGGCAGGGAGAGGAGACGCAGAAGCAGGAGAGGGAGUGCAGUGCUGCCUGUGCAACCUGCAUGUGGAGGGAGACCGGUUCACCCAGCACCUGUCGGACCACCACACGGAGGAGCAGUGUGAUACCUGUGGGGCAAAGGUGCAGGGUACUGUUGGUCUUUUGAACCACAUCCAAGUGGUUCACUAUGCCUUCAGGGUACCAUCAAAGCCGUCUCUGCCCCCUUCUUCAUCCUGCUCUGCCGCGCCACACCACACGGCAGCUCCACCACCUGCAGCACACUUCAGGGUACCAUCAAAGCCGUCUCUGCCCCCUUCUUCAUCCUGCUCUGCCGCGCCACACCACACGGCAGCUCCACCACCUGCAGCACACUUCAGGGUACCAUCAAAGCCGUCUCUGCCCCCUUCUUCAUCCUGCUCUGCCGCGCCACACCACACGGCAGCUCCACCACCUGCAGCACAGAGGGUCAACUGGAAAGGUUUCCUGCCUGACCAGUUCAGAAGGGUGAUCCAGGAAGCCGAUCAGGUCUGGGUUUCCAAAUGCUUGUAUGAGCCUACAGGCCAACUAAAGCAAAAGAUCCAGGCCUGCUGGUUUCACCCUCCACUGGAGCCCAAACCAUCACCUCCUGAGCCUGGCUGGUACUUCCGGCAGAGGCUGUUUAUCUGGGCACCGAUGAGGAUGUGGGGGAUCCCCUCAAAGUGCCCCCAGUGUUCCUCAAAGAUGAACAGCUCCGGGAUUUACCGGAAGGUAAGGGAGGUGAUCGACGUGGAUAGCCGCUAUUAUCUUGUGGGAGCGGACUAUCCACGUUGCUGCAGGUGCUCGCAGCCGGUCUGCCCAUAG
This 1197-nucleotide long non-coding RNA is filed under the name Gadus morhua (Atlantic cod). RNAcentral describes it as "lncRNA (ENSGMOG00000036871.1)". The record is from RNAcentral. Lineage: Eukaryota; Metazoa; Chordata; Actinopteri; Gadiformes; Gadidae.